Molecule: transfer RNA, 66 nt
Filed under: Poecilia formosa (Amazon molly)
Lineage: Eukaryota; Metazoa; Chordata; Actinopteri; Cyprinodontiformes; Poeciliidae
Rfam family: tRNA
About the family: Transfer RNA (tRNA) molecules are approximately 80 nucleotides in length.
Source: Rfam by way of RNAcentral
GACUCUGUGGCGCAACGGCAGCGUGUCUGACUCCAGAUCAGAAGGUUGCGUGUUCAAAUCACGUCA